RNAcentral lists this ribosomal RNA (254 nucleotides) under uncultured bacterium. RNAcentral describes it as "partial 16S ribosomal RNA". It matches the Rfam family "Bacterial small subunit ribosomal RNA", at positions 524 to 776 of the family's 1533-position model. The record is from RNAcentral.
GACAAAGGGGGCUAGCGUUGUUCGGAAUUAUUGGGCGUAAAGCGCGCGCAGGCGGCCUCCUAAGUCCGAUGUGAAAGCCCACGGCUCAACCGUGGAGGGUCAUUGGAAACUGGGGGACUUGAGUGCAGGAGAGAAGAGUGGAAUUCCACGUGUAGCGGUGAAAUGCGUAGAGAUGUGGAGGAACACCAGUGGCGAAGGCGACUCUUUGGCCUGUAACUGACGCUGAGGCGCGAAAAGCGUGGGGAGCAAACAGG